GGCAAUUCAGGGUCUCUGAUCUAAGGGUCAGAUUUAAGUGACUUGAUUAAGAAAUUAUGAAGCACAGAUUAAAUCAAGAUCAAUCAAUAGAGUUUAUUAAUCAUGAAUUUGAAAGAUACUUGAUAUGAUCAAAUAAGGUUGACAUACAGCACGGAUAUCAAAGCAACUUCGAAUCAUCUUGUUAUAGUCAAUAUGAGCUCCUAAA
RNAcentral lists this long non-coding RNA (205 nucleotides) under Elaeis guineensis (African oil palm). Its description in RNAcentral is "long non-coding RNA (EGUI_LNC027508)". Lineage: Eukaryota; Viridiplantae; Streptophyta; Magnoliopsida; Arecales; Arecaceae. The record is from RNAcentral.